UUAGCAUAUCAAUAAGCGGAGGAAAAGAAACCAACAGGGAUUGCCCUAGUAACGGCGAGUGAAGCGGCAACAGCUCAAAUUUGAAAUCUGGCGUCUUCGGCGUCCGAGUUGUAAUUUGCAGAGGGCGCUUUGGCAUUGGCAGCGGUCCAAGUUCCUUGGAACAGGACGUCACAGAGGGUGAGAAUCCCGUACGUGGUCGCUAGCCUUUACCGUGUAAAGCCCCUUCGACGAGUCGAGUUGUUUGGGAAUGCAGCUCUAAAUGGGAGGUAAAUUUCUUCUAAAGCUAAAUACUGGCCAGAGACCGAUAGCGCACAAGUAGAGUGAUCGAAAGAUGAAAAGCACUUUGGAAAGAGAGUUAAAAAGCACGUGAAAUUGUUGAAAGGGAAGCGCUUGCAGCCAGACUUGCCUGUAGUUGCUCAUCCGGGUUUCUACCCGGUGCACUCUUCUAUAGGCAGGCCAGCAUCAGUUUGGGCGGUUGGAUAAAGGUCUCUGUCAUGUACCUCCUUUCGGGGAGAUCUUAUAGGGGAGACGACAUGCAACCAGCCUGGACUGAGGUCCGCGCAUCUGCUAGGAUGCUGGCGUAAUGGCUGUAAGCGGCCCGUCUUGAAACACGGACCAAGGAGUCUAACAUCUAUGCGAGUGUUUGGGUGUCAAGCCCGAACGCGUAAUGAAAGUGAACGGAGGUGGGAACCUUUCGGGGUGCACCAUCGACCGAUCCUGAUGUCUUCGGAUGGAUUUGAGUAAGAGCAUAGCUGUUGGGACCCGAAAGAUGGUGAACUAUGCUUGAAUAGGGUGAAGCCAGAGGAAACUCUGGUGGAGGCUCGCAGCGGUUCUGACGUGCAAAUCGAUCGUCAAAUUUGGGCAUAGGGGCGAAAGACUAAUCGAACUAUCUAGUAGCUGGUUCCUGCCGAAUUUUU
RNAcentral lists this ribosomal RNA (917 nucleotides) under Stagonosporopsis cucurbitacearum. RNAcentral describes it as "partial large subunit ribosomal RNA". It matches the Rfam family "Eukaryotic large subunit ribosomal RNA", at positions 35 to 970 of the family's 3401-position model. The record is from RNAcentral. Lineage: Eukaryota; Fungi; Ascomycota; Dothideomycetes; Pleosporales; Didymellaceae.